This 460-nucleotide ribosomal RNA is filed under the name uncultured bacterium. Its description in RNAcentral is "partial 16S ribosomal RNA". It matches the Rfam family "Bacterial small subunit ribosomal RNA", at positions 338 to 795 of the family's 1533-position model. The record is from RNAcentral.
CCUACGGGAGGCAGCAGUGAGGAAUAUUGGUCAAUGGACGAGAGUCUGAACCAGCCAAGUAGCGUGAAGGAUGACUGCCCUAUGGGUUGUAAACUUCUUUUAUAUGGGAAUAAAAUGUUCCACGUGUGGGAUUUUGUAUGUACCAUAUGAAUAAGGAUCGGCUAACUCCGUGCCAGCAGCCGCGGUAAUACGGAGGAUCCGAGCGUUAUCCGGAUUUAUUGGGUUUAAAGGGAGCGUAGGUGGAUUGUUAAGUCAGUUGUGAAAGUUUGCGGCUCAACCGUAAAAUUGCAGUUGAAACUGGCAGUCUUGAGUACAGUAGAGGUGGGCAGAAUUCGUGGUGUAGCGGUGAAAUGCUUAGAUAUCACGAAGAACUCCGAUUGCGAAGGCAGUUCACUGGACUGCAACUGACACUGAGGCUCGAAAGUGUGGGUAUCAAACAGGAUUAGAUACCCGUGUAGUC